GUCCACGCCCUAAACAAUGCAUACUAGAUAUUGGCAGUAUCGACCCUGUCAGUGUCGCUUAAAAGUUAACACAUUAAGUAUGCCGCCUGGGGAGUACGGUCGCAAGACUAAAACUCAAAGGAAUAGACGGGGACCCGCACAAGCAGUGGAGCAUGUGGUUUAAUUCGAUGGUAAACGAGGAACCUUACCUGGGCUCAACUACUAGCUGCAUAUCGCCAGAAAUGGCUUUAGCCUUCGAGGGUGCUAGAUAGGUGCUGCAUGGUUGCCGU
This 269-nucleotide ribosomal RNA is filed under the name uncultured bacterium. RNAcentral describes it as "partial 16S ribosomal RNA". It matches the Rfam family "Bacterial small subunit ribosomal RNA", at positions 793 to 1055 of the family's 1533-position model. The record is from RNAcentral.